UACGUAGGGUGCAAGCGUUGUCCGGAAUUAUUGGGCGUAAAGAGCUCGUAGGCGGUCUGUCGCGUCGGAUGUGAAAAUCCAGGGCUCAACCCUGGACCUGCAUUCGAUACGGGCAGACUAGAGUUCGGCAGGGGAGACUGGAAUUCCUGGUGUAGCGGUGAAAUGCGCAGAUAUCAGGAGGAACACCGGUGGCGAAGGCGGGUCUCUGGGCCGAUACUGACGCUGAGGAGCGAAAGCGUGGGAGCAAACAGG
Molecule: ribosomal RNA, 252 nt
Filed under: uncultured bacterium
Lineage: Bacteria
Description: partial 16S ribosomal RNA
Rfam family: Bacterial small subunit ribosomal RNA
Source: RNAcentral